GAGGGACACUGCCCCACAGCCGACCCCAUAGAGACCCAUAGGGACCCCCAUAGGGAACCCCCCUCCCUGAUGCGCUCCAUGGCCAGCGGGCAGUCCAGCUAUAGGGGAACACACAGCGCCCCAUAAAAAACCCCAUAGGAAACCCCAUAGAGACCCAGAGGGACACUGCCCCAUAGCCGACCCCAUAGAGAUCCCAUACGGAACCCCAUAGCCGACCCCAUAGAGACCCAUAAUGAACCUCAUAGCCGACCCCAUAGAGACCCAUAGGGAACGCCAUAGCCGACCCCAUAGAGACCCAUAAGGAAACCCCAUAGUGCCCCAUAGGGACACUGCUCCAUGGGAACCCCAUAGUGCCCCAUAGCCGACCCCAUAGAGACCCAUAGAGACCCAGAGGGACACUGCCCCAUAGCCAACCCCAUAGCUGACCCCAUAGAGACCCAGAGGGAACCCCAUGGUGACCCAUAGGGACCCAUAGGGACACUGCCCCAUAGCUGACCCCAUAGCCGACCCCAUAGAGAUCAUAGGGAACCCCAUAGAGACCCAUAGGUCUCCCUGAUGCUCCAUGGCCAGCAGGCAGUCCAGCUAUAGGGGAACACACAGCACCCCAUAGAAAACCCCAUAGAAAACCCCACAGAGACCCACAGACACUGCCACAUAGCCAACCCCAUAGCCGACCCCAUAGAGACCCAUAGGGAAACUGUAGCCGACCCCAUAGAGACCCCAUAGGGAACCCGUAGUUGACCCCAUAGAGAGAGACCCAUAGGGAACCCCAUAGCCGACCCCGUAGAGACCCCUAAGGAAAGCCCAUAGUGCCCCAUAGGGACACUGCUCCAUGGGAACCCCAUAGUGCCCCAUAGCAGCACCACCCCACAGCCGACCCCAUAGCUGACCCCAUAGAGACCCAUAGGGAACCCCAUAGUGACCCAUAGGGACCCAUAGGGACACUGCCCCAUAGCCGACCCCAUAGAGACCCAUGGGGAACACCAUAGUGCCCCAUAGUGACCCAUAGGGAUACUGCCCCAUAGCCGACCCCAUAGUGCCCCAUAGGGAACCCCAUAGCCGACCCCAUAGAGACCCAUAGGAAACCCCAUAGAACCCCACAGGGAACCCAAUAUUGCCGCAUAGGGAACCCCAUAGUGCCCCAUAGAGACCCAUAGGGAACCCCAUAGUGCCCCACAGGGACACAGCCCCAUAGCCGACCCCAUAGCGC
RNAcentral lists this long non-coding RNA (1210 nucleotides) under Phasianus colchicus (ring-necked pheasant). RNAcentral's name for it is "lncRNA (ENSPCLG00000013987.1)". The record is from RNAcentral. Lineage: Eukaryota; Metazoa; Chordata; Aves; Galliformes; Phasianidae.